Dasypus novemcinctus (nine-banded armadillo) is the source of this 119-nucleotide unclassified non-coding RNA. Lineage: Eukaryota; Metazoa; Chordata; Mammalia; Cingulata; Dasypodidae. The record is from Ensembl.
CUUCCACUUUCGCGGGGAUCAGCAUCCCUGGGGCCUCAUCCCCUUAUCUUCCUGGGCUGCUGCUCUGCAUCGAGGCACCGAGCCCUCUCCUCAGGGUCCUCACCCUCUACCUCCAGGCC